CACACACACACCCAAGUGCCGUUGACACUGUGCAGGCGGGAAGCUCGGCUGGGGUAGAGAUGUAGCAUCAAACAUUCACGGAUGUCCAGGGAGCGCGGGCCCACAGGCUGCUGGCCAGAGGUACUAGGAGGGCACAGGCUGGAGCCCGAGGAGGAUGCACCUUCCCCUGCCUUGGAAAGCAGACUGGAGCCUGGGAGGACAAUACACUAGUCAUGUUGAAGAUAACAGACCUGACCCGAGAGCGGUUGCCAAAUGAAGCAAUGUGUGGCUCUUUUAAGCCAUCAAGGGGCUGCUCACAAUGUAUGCUGGACCAUAUUAAGCCCUGAGGUGAUCACAAAAGAAGUUUGCCUGGGACCCAUCUGUCUCCUGCCGCUGUCCACAAGAUGGAGAAGGCGGAAGCAACCCGAGGAGCCGUCUUUGUCUGACACCUCUGCUGAAGUGCUGUUAUACAGUGGCUAUUGAAAUGUCUAUUGAUGGAGUAACUUGAAGUCCGCUAUUGUCAACUGGCCUCAAAGCUGGGCCAUUGAGUAGAUGGGUGCUCUUUGUGCCUAAAAAAGCAGCAGGUGAAGGACGGAGCAGGAAAGGGGUAUCAGCAUUACAGGAAAGUCAAGUGAACUCCCUGGAGGGGUCUCCAAGGAAAGGAAGUUUUGUUACAUGUGACCGUCUAAUGAAGAUACAUUCGAAGUCUGAUGGAAAUUGUUUUUAACUAGGUAGCAAAUUCAAAUGAUGUCCAAAACAUAUACCCUGCUGUAACUUAUAACAUGAAUUCACAUGCUGCAGAUUUCUAAAAAGGGGACCAUGGAUUUUUUACUAGCUUUAAGGUGCAUGUAAUUCACUGAGAAUGGCUAUCUCUUCAUCAUUAACUCAUCAUUGUGAGGUUAGGAAGGACUUCCACAUUUUACAUUAGACAUUUACUGUUUACACGGACCAUAAAAUAUGAUCUGUCUCAAAUUACACACAAAGGCUUAUUCCUAAUUAUAAAUGCCCAGCCUUAGAUUGGCUGGUUUCUAGCUAGCUUUCCUUAAUUUUAAAUUAUCCUGUCUGUCU
This is a long non-coding RNA of Peromyscus maniculatus bairdii (prairie deer mouse), 1047 nucleotides long. RefSeq lists it as uncharacterized. The record is from RefSeq and is a predicted model, not a curated record. Lineage: Eukaryota; Metazoa; Chordata; Mammalia; Rodentia; Cricetidae.